Long non-coding RNA from Canis lupus familiaris (dog), 1698 nucleotides. RefSeq lists it as uncharacterized. The record is from RefSeq and is a predicted model, not a curated record. Lineage: Eukaryota; Metazoa; Chordata; Mammalia; Carnivora; Canidae. The transcript has 6 exons.
CACCGUUGCUAAGUUAUCACCUAGGCUGCGGGGUGUUUGUCAAGGAACCACAGUGACCAUGGCCUGAUGAAGGAAAGCUCCUUGAUCCAGCAGACUCUGCGAGAACUAUGCCAGAACAUGCCAACGAUUAAAUGGUGCAGUAGAAGAGUUAAGUCAUGACCGUUUUCAAGGGUUUACCUAAAAGGUGGAAUCAUUUACAUGAUUUUCUCAAGGGUCAUCUUCAAAAGCUACCAAUUUUGUAUAAGUAUCAGUGAAAUACUCCUCCGACAAACCAUUAGACAACACACAAGGAAAGAGAGAGGGAGAAGCCAAGUGGCCCUCUGGUGAUAGAUAAUUAAUGCUUUCAAAUGGAUGAUGGAUGGAAAAAAGAUGAAAAGAACAACAAAAGAGCAGACAUGCCUGUUGGCCAGAAGCUGAAAUAUGGACAGGGACAGAAGCUGAGGAACCAAUGAGGAGGAGCAAGUGGAUUUUGAGGGAAACAAGCAUAUUGUAGGAAGUACGAGAGGUCUGUUAUUACCCCACGUCUUAUGGUCUCUGUAUUUGCUUCUUGAGGAACAAAGUACAAGCACAUUUCCAUAAGUGAAAGAUGGAAGUGAUGUAAAGUGAUGAUUGAUGACCAUCUCUUCAGAUGAUGAAGUGAAGCUUCGAACAGUUAACUAAAUGGUGUCUCACAACUUGUAUGCAGCCAGUCAAGGAUUUGAACCUUCUAGAGACACAUCCUGACAGCAUGUUCCUCACAUCAGAAGAUGGUCAGUUUCAGGGACACCACAGAAAAGACAGACUACCUUACUUAUAAGACCUCCUCUGACUUGAAGAUCAUAUGACUCUAUUGUUCUUUGAGGUCAGUGAACUCCUUGGAUCUAGCAGAGUGACAACUGUCAUCAAAUGGAGUUGACUCUUAAAGUAAAGCUUGACAGAAAAUAAAGGAAAUAGAGAUCAGCCUCCUGUAGAUGACAGUUCAACAGCACAACUCCUUCCAUCAAUGGAAUGGCUCUCUCAAUGUGAUAUAUAAACCAUGAGACUGAGUGCCAAUAACUAGGAAAAUUACCCAGAAUCAGAGUGAUAGUUGCUGUUCUACAUUCUUGUAAUCCUGGACCUAUCCCAAGGAGGUUGACAAAGGACUCAAAACAUCUUUGACCAACAAAACAUGCAGAUCAGGUACAAACAGGGUGAACAGAAGUUGCUUUUAUAGAUUCCAUGAUGUCCGGAUUUGAAUAACAUGCCACAGCUUGGGGUUGUAAAAAACUGCAGUAGAUACACUGGCCUUUGGCUAGGAAGUAGCACUUGGGGAUUAAGUGGGAGCAGAAAGAGGAUGGCAUUUAAGGGGCAAGGAUGGAGCGUGGUCACAUGUCCCAUAAGCAAAGCCACAACUCAUUAAAUAGCAUCUGGAGGUCAACUGAUACUCUCUCAUUAUCUUUUAUUAUGAAAGUCUCCUUUUCUUUACGGUGAUCAGCCACAUUGUACUGUUUUGUUCCUGCUCUCAUUUACAAGGAGCAAUAAUUGCCAUUAGCAAUCAUCGUUGAUUUACAGGAGCACAGCAGCGUUCUAGUAAUAAUACAGAAGGGCCACUGUGUUAUUGUGGUAAGAUUCUUGCCAGCAAUUGGAUAUUAAAAACAAUAAUCUUGGGACGCCUCGGUGGCUCAGUCUACCUUUGGCUCAGGGCGUGACCCCGGGGUCCUGGGAUCGAGUCCCACAUGU